AUGUUUAUUUCUCAGGGUCUGAAAGAACUCGUACAAAAUGAGACGGUGCCCUGCCCCAUUGACAUAGCUAAUAACGCCAUUGACGAUCACCUAGCCAAGAGGCUCACCGAACUGUGUGGUUCUGAGAACAAAUUAGUUGUGGGAAGUGCUGAAUAUAAAAGAAUAAUUGAAAUGAACCUGAGAAUACCCUGUCUUUAUGUUGAUGUUCCGGAUUGUGAGGUCAUAAUUUGGAGUCAGAUGAAUCCCAUGCGUGCUUUAAUUGGUUUCCCGACAGGAGACAUGGCUAUUAUGCUGCUAUAUGAAGCGCCUCUGGCAUCGCAAUUUUCUCUUUUGAUGGGGACUACCUCAAUGAUCCAGCAAAGGACUUUUGAGAAUGCUUGCCACCGCUUAGUCUGA
Molecule: ribosomal RNA, 396 nt
Filed under: Triticum aestivum (bread wheat)
Lineage: Eukaryota; Viridiplantae; Streptophyta; Magnoliopsida; Poales; Poaceae
Description: partial small subunit ribosomal RNA
Source: RNAcentral